GCGGGGGGGGGGGAGUGAGUCCCCGCGGUCCCAGCUAGACCACGAGGUUGAACCCGCAGACAAGCCGCAAGCUUCAGAGAGCCCCAGAGGCCCUGGCCGCACUCCCGCCUCGGGCAGGAGGAAACGGAGGGGCUGCCGGCCGGAUCUCUCCUGCUCCCUCCAGGGUCACAGGCAGGGCAGCUGAGGAACGACUCCCGCCAUGACAUCAACAUCAUCAUCAUCGGCGAAGGGAGCUGCUCUGCUCUCACAGCCCAUCUCUGGGCAGCAGCAGCAGUAGCUGCCAGAGUGCCUCGCUCUUGCUUAUUUGACUGAAUGGUUUCCAGAGGGGUGGUGGUGGUUUGCUGGAGGAAAAUUUGACAUCUUUACCUGGAAGAGAUGGAAAGUGCUGCAUAUAUCUGCAGUAUAAUCCAAAGUGUCCUUACUUGACUAAGAUUUAAGGUAACUCAAAACUUUCCUUGCAUCCUAUAGGCUGGGCCCUGGUAGGCUGAAACAGAACAAGCUUGCUUCUUGCUGACUGAUGAAUUUAAAAUUAGUUCAGAGAGCUUACCCCCUCAGUCCAAUACUGCUGAUCCUCCCAACUUGUGAAGAAGAAAACAUCAAAUGCUGCUUUGCCUUCGUUGGACCUAGAGGGAAACCAGCAUCUCUGAAGAUGGGAGUUCAAAUCAGAAAAACAGAAGACAAGAGAGUCCUGAAUUCCACUCCCAGUGAGAUAUAGCGACCAUCACUCAUGGAUUCAUAACUUCAAGGCUAGACUACUGUAGUGCCAACUGGCAAUGGUUUGGAGUAGAGGUUUUGUCCUGAGAGCAGGUGGAUUGCUGGAGACAGAGCCAGUACUCAAGUGCUUGAACUGACUUUAUGCUGAAUUCAAGUGGUAAUAGAAGAUUGGUUCACAUGGGACAAAACAACUUGCUGAAAACAAGAUGGAGUUAAUGUAUCAUGGACCGUAUGCAACUGGAGAGGUAGUUUAAUGCAAGGGUUUCUGUUUGUGCAGCAAAACUUCUCUUCUGUGCUCCUUCUCCCAAAUCUGCUCUGAAGGGUUGGGGAUUUGGAGAGCAUGCUGUGGGGGUGGCAGGAUGGAGAAGCAAAUUCCUUGGGGGAAGCCAUGACUAGUUAGAAUGUUAUAAUACGAGUUUAAAUGUAUAGUGUUGAUGGGGUGUUUGAUAUUCUUUGAAUGCCAAACAAAUGCCUUCUUCUCCCCCAGCAUUCCAGCAUGUUGUGUAGUUGCUUUUAGUUGUGUCUGAUGGGUUCUGAUGGAUUUUACAUUAUUGGCUGGUGGUGGCUGCAGCUUUAUUGAUUUGCUUUGUGCCUGGUCUUUACGUGUGUUUUUAUAAUUUAAAUGUUUGUCAGCCUAGAAGCAUUAUGCCAAAGGUCAGCUUAUAAAUUUACAGCAAUCAAUCAAUAAGCAAAUAAAUGCAUCUUAGAAAAAUUAAUAGUAGCUCUCAAAAUAAUGGGACAUGCAUAGAAAUCUUCAGAUUUGGAAAAAAAGCAGCUUGAAAACUGUAUGCAGACAUAUCACCAUCAUGGUUUAAUUGUUUUUUUCAUUUUAUAUUUCCUGUUGCUUAGAAAGAAAUAGGAUUUUACCAAGAGGCUAGUGCUGUACAAAUAAGUCAUGUGUCUGUGAACUGCAUAUUUCCAAACCCCAUCUUAGAGGCUGACUCAUACCAUAAAGAAAAUGGCAAAUCCAGGUUAUUUGGGGAAAGGGGUUGGUAAACUGAGAAAUAUGAUUUGGAGGGAGCUGGGAGGUGAGGUCUAAGAAGUGGAAAGUGGUAAAUGAUUUGCAGCAAUGUCUUGGCUCCAGGCGUGGAGCUGGCUUUAUGUCUCCGAAUAAGGUCACAUCCAUUUUGUACGAUUAAAUUUAACCUGAUUGAAUAAUUA
Molecule: long non-coding RNA, 1875 nt
Organism: Podarcis raffonei (Aeolian wall lizard)
Lineage: Eukaryota; Metazoa; Chordata; Lepidosauria; Squamata; Lacertidae
Exons: 5
Source: RefSeq, a predicted model, not a curated record